This 75-nucleotide transfer RNA is filed under the name Geobacter metallireducens GS-15. RNAcentral describes it as "tRNA-Val (CAC) (tRNA-Val-CAC-1-1)". It matches the Rfam family "tRNA". Rfam says of the family: Transfer RNA (tRNA) molecules are approximately 80 nucleotides in length. The record is from RNAcentral. RNAcentral also lists the same sequence under 11 other names. Lineage: Bacteria; Pseudomonadati; Thermodesulfobacteriota; Desulfuromonadia; Geobacterales; Geobacteraceae.
GGGCGAUUAGCUCAGCGGGAGAGCACUGCCUUCACACGGCAGGGGUCACUGGUUCAAACCCAGUAUCGCCCACCA